Molecule: unclassified non-coding RNA, 235 nt
Filed under: Glomus sp.
Lineage: Eukaryota; Fungi; Glomeromycota; Glomeromycetes; Glomerales; Glomeraceae
Description: partial contains 5.8S ribosomal RNA and internal transcribed spacer 2
Rfam family: 5.8S ribosomal RNA (bases 1-65)
Source: RNAcentral
GUGAAUCAUCGAAUUUUUGAACGCAAAUUGCACUCUCCUCGGAGAGUAUGCCUGUUUGAGGUUCAGCCUAAAAAAGAAUCAACAUCGUUGCUGUUUCGCGGUGACGUUAGUCGGUAAUUGGGUCAGCUGAAACCUGUUGGUUUUUAAGCAACUUAAGAUUUUCUUUUGACCCCGUGAACGUUUCUAAGUUUUAUAUCUUUACACAUUAAUGGGAAUCGAGUUUAUUAGAGGUGGC